GGAAUAUUGCACAAUGGGGGAAACCCUGAUGCAGCGACGCCGCGUGAGUGAAGAAGUAUCCCGGUAUGUAAAGCUCUAUCAGCAGGAAAGAUAAUGACGGUACCUGACUAAGAAGCCCCGGCUAACUACGCGCCAGAAGCCGCGGUAAUACGUAGGGGGCAAGCGUUAUCCGGAUUUACUGGGUGUAAAGGGAGCGUAGACGGCAGCGCAAGUCUGGAGUGAAAUGCCGGGGCCCAACCCCGGAACUGCUUUGGAAACUGUGCGGCUCGAGUGCGGGAGAGGUAGGCGGAAUUCCUAGUGUAGCGGUGAAAUGCGUAGAUAUUAGGAGGAACACCAGUGGCGAAGGCGGCUUACUGGACCGUAACUGACGUUGAGGCUCGAAAGCGUGGGGAGCAAACA
Molecule: ribosomal RNA, 399 nt
Filed under: uncultured bacterium
Lineage: Bacteria
Description: bacterial SSU rRNA
Rfam family: Bacterial small subunit ribosomal RNA
Source: RNAcentral